UACGUAGGGGGCUAGCGUUGUCCGGAAUCAUUGGGCGUAAAGAGCGUGUAGGCGGCCCGGUAAGUCCGCUGUGAAAGUCGGGGGGCUCAACCCUCGGAUGCCGGUGGAUACUGUCGGGCUCGAGUACGGAAGAGGCGAGUGGAAUUCCUGGUGUAGCGGUGAAAUGCGCAGAUAUCAGGAGGAACACCUAUUGCGAAGGCAGCUCGCUGGGACGUUACUGACGCUGAGACGCGAAAGCGUGGGGAGCAAACAGG
Molecule: ribosomal RNA, 254 nt
Filed under: uncultured bacterium
Lineage: Bacteria
Description: partial 16S ribosomal RNA
Rfam family: Bacterial small subunit ribosomal RNA
Source: RNAcentral